UACGGAGGGUGCAAGCGUUAUCCGGAUUUACUGGGUUUAAAGGGUGUGUAGGCGGGCUAUUAAGUCAGUGGUGAAAUCUCCGGGCUCAACCUGGAAACUGCCAUUGAUACUAUUAGUCUUGAAUUUUGUUGAGGUAGGCGGAAUAAGUCAUGUAGCGGUGAAAUGCAUAGAUAUGACUUAGAACACCAAUUGCGAAGGCAGCUUGCUAAACAAAUAUUGACGCUGAGGCACGAAAGCGUGGGGAUCAAGCAGG
This 253-nucleotide ribosomal RNA is filed under the name uncultured bacterium. RNAcentral's name for it is "partial 16S ribosomal RNA". It matches the Rfam family "Bacterial small subunit ribosomal RNA", at positions 524 to 776 of the family's 1533-position model. The record is from RNAcentral.